CCUACGGGGGGCAGCAGUGAGGAAUAUUGGUCAAUGGACGAGAGUCUGAACCAGCCAAGUAGCGUGAAGGAUGACUGCCCUAUGGGUUGUAAACUUCUUUUAUAUGGGAAUAAAGUGUUCCACGUGUGGGAUUUUGUAUGUACUAUAUGAAUAAGGAUCGGCUAACUCCGUGCCAGCAGCCGCGGUAAUACGGAGGAUCCGAGCGUUAUCCGGAUUUAUUGGGUUUAAAGGGAGCGUAGGUGGGUUGUUAAGUCAGUUGUGAAAGUUUGCGGCUCAACCGUAAAAUUGCAGUUGAAACUGGCAGUCUUGAGUACAGUAGAGGUGGGCGGAAUUCGUGGUGUAGCGGUGAAAUGCUUAGAUAUCACGAAGAACUCCGAUUGCGAAGGCAGUUCACUGGACUGCAACUGACACUGAGGCUCGAAAGUGUGGGUAUCAAACAGGAUUAGAUACCCUAGUAGUC
This 460-nucleotide ribosomal RNA is filed under the name uncultured bacterium. RNAcentral's name for it is "partial 16S ribosomal RNA". It matches the Rfam family "Bacterial small subunit ribosomal RNA", at positions 338 to 795 of the family's 1533-position model. The record is from RNAcentral.